AGGGCACCACCAGGAGUGGAGCCUGCGGCUUAAUUUGACUCAACACAGGAAAACUUACCCGGCCCGGACACUGGAAGGAUUGACAGAUUGAGAGCUCUUUCUUGAUUCAGUGGGUGGUGGUGCAUGGCCGUUCUUAGUUGGUGGAGCGAUUUGUCUGGUUAAUUCCGAUAACGAACGAGACUCUAGCCUACUAAAUAGACUGUUCAGCUUUAUAGCCGGAAUCACCGGGCAUGUAGCUCUCACGGGUUGCAUGUUCGGCUCUGGUGACGUUGGCAGUGCUUCUUAGAGGGACAGGCGGCGGUUCAGCCGCACGAAACAGAGCAAUAACAGGUCUGUGAUGCCCUUAGAUGUCCGGGGCUGCACGCGCGCUACACUGAAGUGAUCAGCGUGCAAUUUACGUUUGGUGAUCUGUCAAGAUUGCCCAACCCAUUGAACCUUCUUCGUGAUUGGGAUAGGGGAUUGUAAUUAUUCCCCUUGAACGAGGAAUUCCCAGUAAGCGCAAGUCAUAAGCUUGCGUUG
Molecule: ribosomal RNA, 519 nt
Filed under: uncultured eukaryote
Lineage: Eukaryota
Description: bacterial SSU rRNA
Rfam family: Eukaryotic small subunit ribosomal RNA
Source: RNAcentral